UACAACUUCAGAGAGUUCUGCAGCAUAGUA
This 30-nucleotide non-coding RNA is filed under the name Mus musculus (house mouse). The record is from RNAcentral. Lineage: Eukaryota; Metazoa; Chordata; Mammalia; Rodentia; Muridae.